Echinops telfairi (small Madagascar hedgehog) is the source of this 107-nucleotide small nuclear RNA. The record is from RefSeq and is a predicted model, not a curated record. NCBI's taxonomy places the organism in Eukaryota, Metazoa, Chordata, Mammalia, Afrosoricida, Tenrecidae.
AUAUUCAUUUUGGUAGCACAUAUACAAAAAGUAGAACAAUACAGAGAAGAUUAGCCCAACUCCUAUGCAGGGAUGACAGAAAGAGUAAUCAGUUAUUCCAAAGUUAA